ACGAGGUCGGAGGGGAGGCUGCACCAGCGUGUGUCCUUCCUUUGCCCAGUGGAGGAGACGGGCACACGCAGCAAUAAGGAGGACAGCGGCCACCGCCGCCUCGUGAUGCCAGGCGGCAACAACGCCACAUUCCUGCCGUCUGCAACGACAUUUGCUUCUUGCCCCGCCCUUCCCACACAGCGAUUCGGCGGGGCGGAUGUCAGUCGCACUACUCGCCAGUCCAUUGGUGCUCGGCGACUCCUCCGCAGCCAAUUGGCAGCCGCUCCCGGUGUCACUCACCGGAUUACGCGCAGGCGUGGGCGCGAGGGGGCGUUCCCCUCCCUAUGGUCUUCUAUAACAGCAGAGAACAAGCACAGAUGAGCAACUUAAAGAAAAAACAGAGAGGAAGAUGUCUGCUUCGUGCUUCCAGUUCUGAAAAUGAAGCAGUGUGCACAUAAAAGUUAUUGGCAGCUGUGUUGAGGCCAGAGGUCGUGAAG
Lagopus muta (rock ptarmigan) is the source of this 476-nucleotide long non-coding RNA. RefSeq lists it as uncharacterized. The record is from RefSeq and is a predicted model, not a curated record. The transcript is spliced from 3 exons. Lineage: Eukaryota; Metazoa; Chordata; Aves; Galliformes; Phasianidae.